GAUGAACGCUGACAGAAUGCUCAACACAUGCAAGUCAACUUGAAUUUGGGUUUUUAACUUAGGUUUGGGUGGCGGACGGGUGAGUAACGCGUAAAGAACUUGCCUCACAGCUAGGGACAACAUUUGGAAACGAAUGCUAAUACCUAAUAUUAUGAUAAUAGGGCAUCCUAUAAUUAUGAAAGCUAUAAGCGCUGUGAGAGAGCUUUGCGUCCCAUUAGCUAGUUGGAGAGGUAACGGCUCACCAAGGCGAUGAUGGGUAGCCGGCCUGAGAGGGUGAUCGGCCACAAGGGGACUGAGACACGGCCCUUACUCCUACGGGAGGCAGCAGUGGGGAAUAUUGGACAAUGGACCGAGAGUCUGAUCCAGCAAUUCUGUGUGCACGAUGAAGUUUUUCGGAAUGUAAAGUGCUUUCAGUUGGGAAGAAAAAAAUGACGGUACCAACAGAAGAAGUGACGGCUAAAUACGUGCCAGCAGCCGCGGUAAUACGUAUGUCACGAGCGUUAUCCGGAUUUAUUGGGCGUAAAGCGCGUCUAGGUGGUUAUAUAAGUCUGAUGUGAAAAUGCAGGGCUCAACUCUGUAUUGCGUUGGAAACUGUAUAACUAGAGUACUGGAGAGGUAAGCGGAACUACAAGUGUAGAGGUGAAAUUCGUAGAUAUUUGUAGGAAUGCCGAUGGGGAAGCCAGCUUACUGGACAGAUACUGACGCUGAAGCGCGAAAGCGUGGGUAGCAAACAGG
Molecule: ribosomal RNA, 735 nt
Filed under: uncultured Fusobacterium sp.
Lineage: Bacteria; Fusobacteriati; Fusobacteriota; Fusobacteriia; Fusobacteriales; Fusobacteriaceae
Description: bacterial SSU rRNA
Rfam family: Bacterial small subunit ribosomal RNA
Source: RNAcentral